UGGGGAAUUUUGGACAAUGGGCGAAAGCCUGAUCCAGCCAUGCCGCGUGAGUGAAGAAGGCCUUCGGGUUGUAAAGCUCUUUUAGUCGGAAAGAAAGAGUUGCAAUGAAUAAUUGUGAUUUAUGACGGUACCGACAGAAAAAGCACCGGCUAACUACGUGCCAGCAGCCGCGGUAAUACGUAGGGUGCGAGCGUUAAUCGGAAUUACUGGGCGUAAAGGGUGCGCAGGCGGUCUUGCAAGUCAGAUGUGAAAGCCCCGGGCUUAACCUGGGAAUUGCGUUUGAAACUACAAGACUAGAGUGCAGCAGAGGGGAGCGGAAUUCCAUGUGUAGCAGUGAAAUGCGUAGAGAUGUGGAAGGACACCGAUGGCGAAGGCAGCUCCCUGGGUUGACACUGACGCUCAUGCACGAAAGCGUGGGGAGCAAACA
Molecule: ribosomal RNA, 427 nt
Filed under: uncultured beta proteobacterium
Lineage: Bacteria; Pseudomonadati; Pseudomonadota; Betaproteobacteria
Description: bacterial SSU rRNA
Rfam family: Bacterial small subunit ribosomal RNA
Source: RNAcentral